Molecule: non-coding RNA, 752 nt
Organism: Manis javanica (Malayan pangolin)
Lineage: Eukaryota; Metazoa; Chordata; Mammalia; Pholidota; Manidae
Source: RefSeq, a predicted model, not a curated record
GGGGAGCACUGUGGUGGGCGCGCCGGGAUUGCAGAGAAGGGCGCAAAAGUCCCCACCCGUGCCUGCGCUCCUAUAGACUCAGCAACUACAGGGGACGGGGAAAAGAGGCCGGAGAGGGACUGGCCUGCACGGUGGCUUAGUGGUCUUCCUACAGAAUAUCUGCAGAGCGUGGGGUCAACCGAUCCCCCCUCCUCCCAGGCAGAUGCAGGACUUAACACAGUCCCUGAAACUGCGGGGGGAUGUGCCAUUCUAGUGAGGCUGCGAGGCAGGGAGUGCCAGCCAGUGGUCACAGUCUAGCUCUGGAAAGAUCACUCUGGCUGUGGUGAGGACAGUGGGGUGGGGUGAUGGCCACGAAGUGGUGCCACUAGGGUCUCCUUUCAGAGAGGGCCUUCCUGCCCAGCCUCCAGCUGCCAGCUCCUACAGAGUCUGCCUCAGCUGCAGAAAACCACCUUACUGCAGGUCUUGGCCUUCCUGGUGGCUGAGGGCAUGGGGUCCAAAGGCCUGGUCAGCUCUGCUAGUGCAGGACUCUGGUAGGAAACUGUCACUUCAGAGAAGCUCACACUUCAUACUCCCUACCUCAACCAGAUACCAGCUUCAUCUGCUAGCACCAAAGCAGGGUUCUGGAGAUCCUAAGCAACCAGCAGAGACACCAGCGGUCACUGCCAGGACUUGCCUCUGGCCACGAGAAGCCCCAGGAGGUGUCUAGCUGGAUGGAGGCCUGUUCAUAUUUGCAUUUUGCUGGGAGAUGACUG